CUAAUAUAACAUUAUCUGCUACUCUUCUUCCUGGUAUAAAUCCAGCUUGAGAAUUACAUAUAGUGCUACUCAUAACUUUCUGGAGUCUGUUAGCCAACAACUUGGAAAUAUCUUAUACAAGACUGAGCAACAUGCUAUUGGCCUGAAUUCUUUAACUGUCUGAGGAUUGGAUACCUUAGGCAGCAAAGUGAGAGUGGCACAA
Molecule: long non-coding RNA, 202 nt
Filed under: Nicotiana benthamiana
Lineage: Eukaryota; Viridiplantae; Streptophyta; Magnoliopsida; Solanales; Solanaceae
Description: long non-coding RNA (NBEN_LNC000079)
Source: RNAcentral